CCGGAAGUUUCGCCCUCUCGUGGACAUAGUGGUAGACACUGUAAACAAGGAAAGAGAAAGUUCUUACGGUGCAUCGAUUUUCUCAGUUGUCAAUGAAUACAUUCAGUUUCUAUGGAAAGCGGGGCAUAAACAAAUUUGAAGAGAAAAGAGAUCGAGGAUGUGUUAACUUGGAUGAUUUCAGUUGUGUCUAAGAAGCAUUGAGGCAGAAUUAAGCACGGAUGUGACCUACAUUUAAAGAAAUCUGAAAGGGGACUACUAAAGGAACAUUCCUGUGAAGGUUGGUUGAAACUGACUUAGCAGUUUAAGAGAAUUGACUUCCUUUGAAGAAAUUGUAUCCAUGGAUCCUAAAAGCACACGGUAAGUACUUUGUGUUCAGGGCAGUUAAAAAUUCAAAGAUUAAGGAUGUGAAAGUAUACUGUCCAUUAACUGACAUAUGAUAAUGCCCUUUACCAGUAUUAGGAGUGGCUUGUCUGUUUAAAUGCUCUUAUCUGUAGGUUAUCUGUAGUUCUCAUUGA
Long non-coding RNA from Mercenaria mercenaria, 515 nucleotides. RefSeq lists it as uncharacterized. The transcript has 3 exons. The record is from RefSeq and is a predicted model, not a curated record. NCBI's taxonomy places the organism in Eukaryota, Metazoa, Mollusca, Bivalvia, Venerida, Veneridae.